Molecule: ribosomal RNA, 885 nt
Filed under: Amanita rubescens
Lineage: Eukaryota; Fungi; Basidiomycota; Agaricomycetes; Agaricales; Amanitaceae
Description: eukaryotic LSU rRNA
Rfam family: Eukaryotic large subunit ribosomal RNA
Source: RNAcentral
CUAACAAGGAUUCCCUUAGUAACUGCGAGUGAAGAGGGAAAAGCUCAAAUUUAAAAUCUGGCAGUGUUUCACUGUCCGAGUUGUAACCUAGAGAAGUGUAACCUGCACUGGACCGUGUAUAAGUCUCCUGGAAUGGAGCAUCACAGAGGGUGAGAAUCCCGUCUUUGACAUGGACCACCAGUGCAUUGUGGUUGUGCUCUCAACGAGUCGAGUUGUUUGGGAAUGCAGCUCUAAAUGGGUGGUAAAUUCCAUCUAAAGCUAAAUAUUGGCGAGAGACCGAUAGCGAACAAGUACCGUGAGGGAAAGAUGAAAAGAACUUUGGAAAGAGAGUUAAACAGUAUGUGAAAUUGUUGAAAGGGAAACGUUUGAAGUCAGUCGCGUUGGUUGGGGAUCAGCCUGACAUUGUUAGGUUUACUUCCUGGUCGACGGGCCAACAUCAGUUUUGACUGCCAGAAAAAGGCCAAAGGAAUGUGGCACCUUUGGGUGUGUUAUAGCCCUUGGUCGUAUAUGGUGGUUGGGACUGAGGAAAGCAGCGUGCCGAAAGGCCGGGUUUCGACCACGUUCACGCUGAGGAUGUUGGCAUAAUGGCUUUAAGCGACCCGUCUUGAAACACGGACCAAGGAGUCUAACAUGCAUGCGAGUGUUUGGGUGGAAAACCCUUACGCGUAAUGAAAGUGAAAGUUGAGAUCCCUGUCGCGGGGAGCAUCGACGCCCGGACCAGAACUUUUGGGACGGAUCUGCGGUAGAGCACGUAUGUUGGGACCCGAAAGAUGGUGAACUAUGCCUGAAUAGGGUGAAGCCAGAGGAAACUCUGGUGGAGGCUCGUAGCGAUUCUGACGUGCAAAUCGAUCGUCAAAUUUGGGUAUAGGGGCGAAAGACUAAUCG